RNAcentral lists this long non-coding RNA (219 nucleotides) under Lathyrus oleraceus (garden pea). RNAcentral's name for it is "Pisum sativum (pea) long non-coding RNA (PSAT_LNC028749)". The record is from RNAcentral. Lineage: Eukaryota; Viridiplantae; Streptophyta; Magnoliopsida; Fabales; Fabaceae.
UUUGUCAAAGGAGGAAGCAUCAUCAAGUAAGAGAUAUGGCAGCCGUUUUGGGAAGAAGAAAGAUAGCGAAGCUAAUGCAAUUUCUAAUGGGAGGCAGAGGAGGCCUCAGAUCAGAAGGAAUCACCCAUCCCGUCAACACCAUUAUCAAGUAUCUUCAGUCAUUCAUGUAUUCUCAAAUAGUCAAGCAACACCAAUUCAAUAACAACAACGUCAACAGCA